GAUGAACGCUGGCGGCGUGCCUAAUACAUGCCAGUCGAGCGAACAGACGAGGAGCUUGCUCCUCUGACGUUAGCGGCGGACGGGUGAGUAACACGUGGAUAACCUACCUAUAAGACUGGGAUAACUUCGGGAAACCGGAGCUAAUACCGGAUAAUAUAUUGAACCGCAUGGUUCAAUAGUGAAAGACGGUUUUGCUGUCACUUAUAGAUGGAUCCGCGCCGCAUUAGCUAGUUGGUAAGGUAACGGCUUACCAAGGCAACGAUGCGUAGCCGACCUGAGAGGGUGAUCGGCCACACUGGAACUGAAGCACGGUCCAGACUCCUAAGGGAGGCAGCAGUAGGGAAUCUUCCGGAAUGGGCGAAAGCCUGACGGAGCAACGCCGCGUGAGUGAUGAAGGUCUUCGGAUCGUAAAACUCUGUUAUUAGGGAAGAACAAAUGUGUAAGUAACUAUGCACGUCUUGACGGUACCUAAUCAGAAAGCCACGGCUAACUACGUG
This 497-nucleotide ribosomal RNA is filed under the name uncultured bacterium. Its description in RNAcentral is "partial 16S ribosomal RNA". It matches the Rfam family "Bacterial small subunit ribosomal RNA", at positions 28 to 507 of the family's 1533-position model. The record is from RNAcentral.